CCUACUGGAGGCAGCAGUGAGGAAUAUUGGUCAAUGGACGAGAGUCUGAACCCUCCCCUUCUCUUUCCUUCUUCCUUCCCUCUUUUUUUUCCCCUUCUUUUCUCACGGAAUAAAACGAGGCACGUGUGCCUUUUUGCAUGUACUUUAUGAAUAAGGAUCGGCUAACUCCGUGCCAGCAGCCGCGGUAAUACGGAGGAUCCGAGCGUUAUCCGGAUUUAUUGGGUUUAAAGGGAGCGUAGAUGGGUUGUUAAGUCAGUUGUGAAAGUUUGCGGCUCAACCGUAAAAUUGCAAUUGAUACUGGCAGUCGUGAGUACAGUUGAGGUAGGCGGAAUUCGUGGUGUAGCGGUGAAAUGCUUAGAUAUCACGAAGAACCCCGAUUGCGAAGGCAGCUUACUAAACUGUGACUGACAUUGAUGCUCGAAAGUGUGGGUAUCAAACAGGAUUAGAUACCCGAGUAGUC
RNAcentral lists this ribosomal RNA (460 nucleotides) under uncultured bacterium. RNAcentral describes it as "partial 16S ribosomal RNA". It matches the Rfam family "Bacterial small subunit ribosomal RNA", at positions 338 to 795 of the family's 1533-position model. The record is from RNAcentral.